UAGGGAGACCUUACCCACUCUUAUAUUGAAAGCGAGAAGUGAAUAGAUAAAGAGAUGGUCAUCCUAAGGUCGGUGAGGGCUAGGUAGAGAAGUGGCUUCCAAACGAGUCCAGGUUAGGUGGUUAUGGGCUAUUAGCUCAGGUGGUUAGAGCGCACCCCUGAUAAGGGUGAGGUCCCUGGUUCGAGUCCAGGAUGGCCCACCAUGGGGGUUUAGCUCAGUUGGUAGAGCGCCUGCUUUGCAAGCAGGAUGUCAGCGGUUCGAGUCCGCUAACCUCCACUGGGGGGGGAAGAGAUGGUAAGAUUCAGCAUCUAGUCUAAUGGCAGUAAUGAUUUAGAGAUAAGUCAGAGUGAUAUUAGAAGGAAUGCUGGGUGAUUAGCCAGCGAGAACCUUGAAAACUGCAUAGUGAGAAGAAAGUCAGGUAGAGACUCAUCAGGAGUCAGGAGUCAAGAGUCUGAAGUCAAGAGUGGGAUGUAGUGUAAGUACGCAGAUCACAGAGGGCAGAGGGCAGAGGACAAAAGACGAGCGAUGAGAUUCACAGAAGAUACCAAUGUAGAUUGAGU
This 560-nucleotide transfer RNA is filed under the name Limnolyngbya circumcreta CHAB4449. RNAcentral describes it as "partial 16S-23S ribosomal RNA intergenic spacer". The stretch from base 204 to 276 matches the Rfam family "tRNA". The record is from RNAcentral. Lineage: Bacteria; Bacillati; Cyanobacteriota; Cyanophyceae; Leptolyngbyales; Leptolyngbyaceae.